CUCUAGUUCUGGUCAAUAAAUUCAGCACGUAUUUUCCUCAAAUCCGCUUAUAUGUAGCCAACAAAGAAUCAUGCAAUAAGAACAAAUAGAAUGAAAAACUCCUAAAAGUAUUAAACCUUUUAUUCCAUCAAUAAUCCAUCAAAUUAAACCAUGAAAUCCCUUUGAAAACCCUUUAAACCCAACUAAAGAAAUACUCAGACAUAAUUCUAAAAUUCAUUAUCAAGACAAACAAGAAUUGCAGAAACAAAAGACAAAGAAUAUAGAAGAUUAAAAACGGCCGCUCCAAUAGUCGAUGGUGAUGAUGAGAUGUCGCAAACUGAUUCUGGUGUGUAUGAAGUGGUUGGAGAGUUGUCACACCAGAAGACUUAAGACCUGUUUUGAUGUGGUAUCUUCAUCGUAUUGAGGCGCAUAUGAUUUCUUUUCAUGCAUCAAAGUGAUGGGUUUGAAGUGGACUUGCAACUUAAUUGAUCUGUGUUGAACUGAAACUGAACGCUGGUAGAACAUUCAGGUUACGGUCCAAGUGUCUUUGUCCGCAUUCACGACACUUCAGGUUGUGGCCAUGAGCUUUUCUGCUUCUUGGUUUCUGCACUUGACAGCUUUGUGGGGCUUCAGUAACCUUCAUGUAGUUUAAGAUCGAACCAUGGGAUCAUCCUCCAACCAAUUGCAUAUGAAAGACUGUUGAUCCUUCUAUCUUGUGUCCAAAACUGAGCUUGAACAGAUGAUAACAACGGAUUUUGAUCACUUUUAUGAAUCAUAUUAAUGUCUUAUGCAGGUGUUUUAACUCUGUUUUUCAAUGGGUUUUAAAGUAUUUUCAAUGUUUUAGAAUUUCAAAAUACUUUUCAGAAAACUUAGACUAAAGUUGUGUAAUUUGGAAUAAACAAACAAUUUUGGAUAAACGCAGACCGUCAAAAGUAUGGCAAGCGCUGAAAAUUUUCUCACCGUCUGAUCACCCCCAAAAUUUGAGACGACAUAGAAUAGACAACCAGAUUUCUAAUGCAAUUGGUUUGAAGACAAUCCAACGGUUGGAUCUUCAGAUAUUCUUGAUACACUAAAGACAGAAAAUACAGUCUCGAAGGAGAGCAUAGGCCGUGACCGCGGCCAGACUAUGAUUCCCCAUGGAUACAAGCACCGCGACCGCGGCCAGACAACAUUGACAUCCCGAGACGACCUAAUUCAGGCCCAAUUCGAUUUCUUUCAUUAUUUUUGAAGCCUUAAGUGUCAAAGGCAACUCCAUAAGCUAUAAAUACCUCCCUUAGGUCAUUUCUAAAGAGUGAGACAGAGAGAUUUGUGUGUGUGCCUAAUUUUUACAAAAAUCCUAGAGAGAGGAGCUAUCUUCGAAGAUGAUCCGUCGAGGAGAGCAUCAUCAUGCCUCCAUCUGCGCCUCUGUUCUUCGUUUCUCUUGUUUGUUCUUUUUAAUUUUCAGCAACUUUAGAUACUCUAUGAUGUUUUGUUACAAUAUGUUUGAGUAGUUUCCCAGUUGGGGUUAAUGAGAUUUUUCAAAAAGAAUUUCAUGUGUCUUCUUCUAUGAACUGUUAGAUUUAGGAUUUAUAAUCUUCUAGGUUUCGUUUAUCUUUAUUCUUAUUGUGUGAUUCUUUGAGUAGUUUCCCAGUUGGGUUUAAUGGGAUUUUUCAAAGAGAAUUUCAUGUGUCUUAUUCUAUGAAUUGUUAGAUUUAGGAUUUACAAUCUUCUAGGUGUUCUUCGUUUACCUUUAUUCUUAUUCCGUGAUUUUUUGUUGGCCACUUAGAAUUCGAUUUCGAUAACUGGUGUUGCGAAAGUUUUCAUUAGUUGUCCGACCUAGGGUGAAAAGAGCAGCUCUGUCAUAGGAGUGAAAACCUAUUUAUAGGUGAGUUUUGAAUGUAGAUGAAUCUUGUUCAAACUAUUGCGUACAAUUGUGGCUGGGGCCAGAGUCGAAAGCUACUGGUCAGGGUUGUGACUGACAGUUGGUUAGUACUGCGAGAGUAGGCUAGUCAUACUACCGCACUCAAGUUCUAGAACAUCCGUAGUCGAUUAUCUUUAUCAUUUAUUUCCGUCAUAGGUUUAGUCCAUGAAUCCCUGCGAAUUUCCCUUAAGCUCAGCGUCCGUUUUUAAUUAUUUACAACCUCGAUUUUUAUUUGUUUUUUACUUACUUUGCUUUCUAGCUUAGAUUUAGUGACACCCAAAACCAAAAACCCAAAUUGUUCAGCUCUAAUAUGAUUUAAGUAUUAGCGUGAAUUCGUACUAAAACAGCCAAGUCUUUGUGGAUCGAUACCCUAAGUAUUACAGUGCACAUCUGUGCACUUGCAGACAUUUAGGGAUUAUAAAUUUAGAACCUGAAGCUUAGUAAAACCAACCCCCAUUCUAUGCAGCAUCAACAGACGGUGAGAAGGUCUUCUUCCAAAGUUGGAUUGCUAAUGGUCUACAUCUGUCUAAAAUUGAGUGUUUUGCUCCAAUUUGCAAUGUUUUCGUCCAAAUAACCUAAAAAGACUUUUGAAACUCCAAAACAUAGAAAUCACUUGAAAAAAUAUCAAAAACCGGGUUAAAACACCCUCAAAAGAUCUUGAAAUCAUAUCCAAAAAGGUGUAAAAAAAGGUUAUGUCAACUCUCUCAUACUUAGAUCUUUGUUUGUCCUUAAACAAAACAGAAAUCAAAGCUCGGAAAGAAGGUUGAAAGUUGAGUGAACUAGCUAAACACAGUCCUUCCAAACUAUAACAAUCAAACUAAAUCAAUCUAAAUCCAUCCUCAAAAAAUUCUCAACAAAAUCCCUGUGUCACUAUAACAUGGUGUCCUUGAUGCGAAAUCCAACCUAUCUAGAUUCAAAAUUUUGGUCAACUACCUCUCUACAACCAUUAAAUUUUGCGUAAAUUUCUCAACAGAAGGGGCUAGAUAUCAAAGACUUUUUAAUAGUGAGGCUUAACAUGUUUUGGGUUACCAUUUUUUGCUGGAGGAUGCAAGAUAUUAUGCAAAAAAGCAAGAAAAGAAGGAUAUAGUAAUAACCACAGUUUCCAGUCACAUCUUUUUGCACAAUAGUGGCUGCAAAUUCCUCCUUUUUGUUACUUCUUCACCAUUCCUCCAAACUUAUGUUUUAGCGCGGAAAAGGAAUCAAAUGGCGUCUAAACUUGUCACCAAUGAACUAUGCCUCCCUUUAUUGAACUUUUUGGCCAAAUAAUUAUUUAGGCUUUUUGUUUUCUUUCCUUUCAAUUUUUUUUUUUAGUUUUUUUUAAGGGGGAUUGCUUAAUGAGAUAGUCCUAGGAGGCACAAAAAUUUACCAGUGAUCUGAGAAGUCCUAGGAGGCACAAAAAUUUACCAGUGAUCUGAGAUAUCCAAGGUAGAGCAGUGGAAAUCGGAUUUCAAAGCUUUCAAAAAAAAAUAAAAACCACCACCUAUAUUACAUUUUCUAGUCACUGUAGUUGUUUUAUUUGCAGGAAAAUCAGUCUUUACAAAACCAGACCGAGUUCCUUGCCUCUCUCUUGUUGUGAAAUUGUAGAUGUCUCCAAAAGUAAGGAAUGUUCAAGCAAGGUCUGCAGUCUGUCGUUUUUGGCUAGUGAGGAUCCGACCACACAGACCACAUGGAGUGUGAAUGGAGAGUCUUAGUGGACCACCAGCAGCAGAAAGCCCCAAUGAACAAACCGAGAAGAAACCGAGUUGGAAAUGAGCCUGUUCAUGUUCGAGUCGCAGCCCAUGCUACCAUCUUGGAGGAUCCAAGAGGUAUGGCGACAUGAACCAAGGACAAGGUGUGAAUGCUCACUAGCAGCAUCAUCAUGUGCCACUCCCAGUGAAUGUUCAGGCGCAGAACAUGCCUCCACCGCCGCCUCAUGCGCCAGUUUAUGCGUUUGGUUUGACAAAUUAAGAGGCCAUGAAACACCUGAAGGACAUGGGAAUGGAAGCCUUUGGAGGGAGAUCUGAUCCUGUCUCUACUAAUAAUUGAAGAAGAGGUUGGAGAAAAUUUUGAUUUCAUGAGGUGCACAGAGGGUUACUGAAAAGAUUUAGUUGUUCAGUACCUUCAAAACGUGACACUGAUAUGAUGGAAAGAUGUGGUAGAAGGAGUCCAAGGUCUUUAUGAGCUGACAUAGAUGAUUUUAAGGAGGAUUAUUCCCAAGAAUACUUCUACCUGAGGCCUUGGACCAGAUAGAGAGUGCUUUUGAAGACUUUUGCCAAGAACAUUGUACUGUGAGGGAGUUCAAGGAAGAAUUUAACAGGCUGAGGAGGUUUUACAAGAAGCAUUUCACGCAAGCUGAUUUGGUUCCCAGUUCAUGAAGAGUAUGAGACUGGAGCUGAAAAAACCGGUGUUCUAUGGGCUUCUUUAGCUUCAAUCUCAGAUCCUUCAUGAACUGGUAAACUAACUCAGCUUGUGUGAAAUGCUCUCUGGAUAACUUCCUCAGCCUGUUAAACUCUUCCUUGUAUUCCUUUACAUUACAAUUUUCCUGGCGAAGGUCCACAAAAGCACUCUCAAUCUGGUAUAUGGCCUCAGCUGAAAAGUAUUCUUGGGAGAACUCCUCCUUAAGAUCAUCCCAUGUCAAUUCAUAACAACGUUGGACUUCUUAUACCACACAUUCCCACCAUAUCAGUGCCUCAUCCUUAAGUUAAUGAAUAGCUAAAUCCUAUCAGUAACCCUCCGAAUACCUCAUGGAAUCAAAAUUCCUCUACAACCUCUUCCUAUAGUUAUCAGCAGAGACAAGAUCAUAUCUCCUUCCAAAGGCUUCCAUUUUCAUGUCAUUUAGAUGUCUCAUGACCUCAUAAUACGUCAAACCAAACUCAUUAACUGGCGCAAGAGGCAGCAGCGGAGGCAUGUUCUGCAGAUGAAGAUUCACUAGAGGUGGCACAUGAUGCUGCUGCUGGUGAGCAUUCACACAUGGUCCUUGGUUCAUGUCUUUAUACCUAUGCUGAUAUCGGUGAAACUCCUCCAAGAAGGCAGCAUGGGCUGCGGCUGGCACAUAAACAGGCUCAUUUCGAACAUGGUUUCCUCCUGGUUGGUUCACGGGGGCUUGCUGCUGCUUCAUUGGGCCUCCAUUCACACUUCCUAGGGUCUCUGUGGUUUGAUCCUCACCAGCCAAACGACCGGCUGCAGACCUUGCUUGAACAUUCUUUUUUUUUGGAGGGAUCUACAAAUUCACAACAAGAGAGAGGCAAGUAAGUCAGUCUGGUCGCGUAAAGACUGAUAUUUCUGCAAAUAAAACAACAACAAUGACUAGAAAAGCUAAUCUAGGUGGUGGUUUUUUUUUGUUGAAAACUUUGAAAUCUGAUAUCCAUCCUUAAUACUCUAAACUUAACUCUCUAAUGUCCUCUCGAACCAUGCUCUAUUACCAACUUGAAACACUCCGAUCCUGCCUUCUCAAAGGAGCCAGACGAAACUACCAUAUCACAUUUAACCCCGCCUCUUUACCAAAUAAAGAUGAAGAGGUCUUUCCCUGUUGUUUUGUUUCUGCCACGAGAAAGAUACAUGGAAGAGGUAUGCCCAGCACGCGGAGAAGUAGAGGCAUCUUUUACCCGGUGAUGUAGGGUAAAGAAGGGCUAUUCUCUCUUUGCGAUGAAUCAAUUCCUUUUCUUUUGCAAGAUUCUCAGCAUCUAUGGGGAGAGUGUCCCAAAGCCCCUUUUCCCCAGUUACACUUUUUAUCGCUUUUUCUUUUGUACGAUUCAGGAGUAUAAUCAGUUGCGACACCAAUAGGAAUGCAUGCUAAAAGACCAGUCCAAUAAUCCCACUCACUGGUAAAUAAGUUAGCAAACUAUUUCUCAUUUAACAACCACAUUCCCAACAAAUUCCCAUUUCUUAUUCCCAAAUCUCAAUCCAAAGUCUUACAAAUCCUAAGAAGACUUCUUAAAGAAAAUCCAAAAUAAAUACCAAAAUAAAUGUCUUAGAAAUGAAUUACGGGAUUAUCUUAAAAGCCAAAUAAAACCUCCUUCCUCUCCAAAGGCACACCACACUAGAACUAUUCAUCUAGUUCUUCAUAAUCAUCAUCAAACACAUCAUCUAGUUCCUAAUAAUCAUCAUCAAACACAUCAUCACCAUACCCACCUGCAAAAUAAUAGAUAUAGAGGAAUGGUGAGUAAUUGAGAUUAUGAGAACCAAACCUAGGCUCGCUCCCUUACCCGCUCAUAUUUCACCAAUAUGCCAAGAAUAAAUUAAACAAACAACAAACAUGCUCUACAAGCGCACAAACAACUACACAAACAUGGGAUACACAAUUUCUCAUCCACCACGUUCCAGAACCACUGCUCAAUAUAUCAAACCAAGGUCACACAGACUGUCUUGAAGUUCGUUUAACCUUCCGGCAUUGAGAACCGGCCUAUUCUCCAGAUCCGAUUCCCAGCACACAAUAUUUGUACCAUCGACAUCCCUUAGCUGCGACGAAAAACUGAUAUAGCUAUUUUCCACUCACUAGUUAAGCAACAUAGUCCCAAGAAAGCAUGCAGAUUCUUACUCUAAUGAGAUCCUAAUCCAGUUUUAUGAUGUAGAUCUGACUAGAUGCAUGAAGAAAAUGUGUAUGUACUUUGUAACACGUCCAAACUUCAUUAGAUCUAAACUUCACAUAUCAAAAGAAGACAAGAAAAUAAGAAAAAAAACUUAGAUCUAAUCCCUACGUUAACAAAAAUGCAGACCUGGAUCAAAGAGGGCUGAAAGCAAAGGAAUCAAGGAGGCGACAGGGAGGAGGCUCGCGGUGGCUGGAGCGGCUAAGGAUGAUAUCUAUUUUUUUCUCUUGGUGGCUAGGACUUUGGAGAAACAAAUAAGGCUCGUUCUCUUUUAAUUUCUCAUUUAAAUAUGAUACUAAAUUAGUGUUUUAUAAAUGGAUUGGGG
Molecule: long non-coding RNA, 6769 nt
Filed under: Eutrema salsugineum
Lineage: Eukaryota; Viridiplantae; Streptophyta; Magnoliopsida; Brassicales; Brassicaceae
Description: long non-coding RNA (ESAL_LNC001246)
Source: RNAcentral